UAGGGAAUCUUCCACAAUGGACGAAAGUCUGACGGAGCAACGCCGCGUGAGUGAAGAAGGGUUUCGGCUCGUAAAACUCUGUUGUUAAAGAAGAACAUAUCUGAGAGUAACUGUUCAGGUAUUGACGGUAUUUAACCAGAAAGCCACGGCUAACUACGUGCCCG
RNAcentral lists this ribosomal RNA (164 nucleotides) under uncultured bacterium. RNAcentral describes it as "partial 16S ribosomal RNA". It matches the Rfam family "Bacterial small subunit ribosomal RNA", at positions 355 to 511 of the family's 1533-position model. The record is from RNAcentral.